UUCGGGUCUAGCGGCGGACGGGUGAGUAACGCGUGGGAACGUGCCCUUCUCUACGGAAUAGCCCCGGGAAACUGGGAGUAAUACCGUAUACGCCCUUUGGGGGAAAGAUUUAUCGGAGAAGGAUCGGCCCGCGUUGGAUUAGGUAGUUGGUGGGGUAAUGGCCCACCAAGCCGACGAUCCAUAGCUGGUUUGAGAGGAUGAUCAGCCACACUGGGACUGAGACACGGCCCAGACUCCUACGGGAGGCAGCAGUGGGGAAUCUUAGACAAUGGGGGCAACCCUGAUCUAGCCAUGCCGCGUGAGUGAUGAAGGCCUUAGGGUUGUAAAGCUCUUUCAGCUGGGAAGAUAAUGACGGUACCAGCAGAAGAAGCCCCGGCUAACUCCGUGCCAGCAGCCGCGGUAAUACGGAGGGGGCUAGCGUUGUUCGGAAUUACUGGG
RNAcentral lists this ribosomal RNA (438 nucleotides) under Paracoccus marcusii. RNAcentral's name for it is "bacterial SSU rRNA". It matches the Rfam family "Bacterial small subunit ribosomal RNA", at positions 85 to 558 of the family's 1533-position model. Lineage: Bacteria; Pseudomonadati; Pseudomonadota; Alphaproteobacteria; Rhodobacterales; Paracoccaceae. The record is from RNAcentral.